Molecule: ribosomal RNA, 423 nt
Filed under: uncultured bacterium
Lineage: Bacteria
Description: bacterial SSU rRNA
Rfam family: Bacterial small subunit ribosomal RNA
Source: RNAcentral
AACGAACGCUGGCGGCAGGCUUAACACAUGCAAGUCGAACGAUAUAGUGGCAGACGGGUGAGUAACGCGUGGGAACGUGCCUUUCACUACGGAAUAGCUUUUGGAAACGAAAGGUAAUACCGUAUACGCCUCCGGGGGAAAGAGUUUAUCGGUGAAAGAUCGGUCCGCGUUAGAUUAGCUAGUUGGUGAGGUAACGGCUCACCAAGGCUACGAUCUAUAGCUGGUCUGAGAGGAUGAUCAGCCACACUGGGACUGAGACACGGCCCAGACUCCUACGGGAGGCAGCAGUGGGGAAUAUUGCACAAUGGGCGCAAGCCUGAUGCAGCCAUGCCGCGUGAAUGAUGAAGGCCUUAGGGUUGUAAAAUUCUUUCGCCAGGGAUGAUAAUGACAGUACCUGGUAAAGAAGCCCCGGCUAACUUCGUG